Molecule: ribosomal RNA, 301 nt
Filed under: uncultured bacterium
Lineage: Bacteria
Description: partial 16S ribosomal RNA
Rfam family: Bacterial small subunit ribosomal RNA
Source: RNAcentral
CAGUCGCCGCGGUAAUACGUAGGUGGCAAGCGUUGUCCGGAAUUAUUGGGCGUAAAGGGCUCGCAGGCGGUUUCUUAAGUCUGAUGUGAAAGCCCCCGGCUCAACCGGGGAGGGUCAUUGGAAACUGGGAAACUUGAGUGCAGAAGAGGAGAGUGGAAUUCCACGUGUAGCGGUGAAAUGCGUAGAGAUGUGGAGGAACACCAGUGGCGAAGGCGACUCUCUGGUCUGUAACUGACGCUGAGGAGCGAAAGCGUGGGGAGCGAACAGAAUUAGAGACCCCAGUAGUCCCUGUCUCUUAUAC